Long non-coding RNA from Marmota monax (woodchuck), 2927 nucleotides. RefSeq lists it as uncharacterized. The transcript is spliced from 2 exons. Lineage: Eukaryota; Metazoa; Chordata; Mammalia; Rodentia; Sciuridae. The record is from RefSeq and is a predicted model, not a curated record.
AGGCUCAAAGCAUGCUCUUGGUCCCCUAAAUGGGCUUUGCAGCUGUGGCACAAGUCCUGGUCCUUGUCAACCGGGCCUGGAACACCCCUGCCACCUCCUCCUGCCUCCAGGCUUCCGGCCCUGUGGCCAGCGAGCGAGUUAACCUUGUCACUUUGGGCCCUUCCGCGGCUCCCUGUUGGGAGGACCCCCACUCCCAUGAUUCAUCUCAGUUCCAGAGGGCAGGAGUCCAGCGUCAAGGUAUCAGCAGGACGGCGUUCUCUCCUCAGGCCCCAGAAGGACCCUUCCUGCCUCUUUUGGCCCCUGUUGGCUCCGGGCAUGGCGAGGCCUGAGGCUGCCCUGCGCCGGCUCUGCCGCCUUCUCACCCCCUUGUCCAGCGUCCCCUCGGUCUCUUUCGACACUCGCCAUCAGACUCACAGCCCAGGUGGGUAAUCAGGACGAGUCUCUCAUCUCAGGACCCUUAAUCACCUCCGCAAAGACGGCUUCCCACCGAGGUCACACUCGCAGGUGGGUCAGGACACCCGGACUGUUUCUGAAGCUCUGUUGGUCCCACCACGCUCCGCCCUGGAACCACCCUGAGAAGGGAGAAGGUCUGUUGGCAAGUCCCAGGUGGAGAAGCCGAGGCUGCGGCAGAGAGCGACUUCCUCACGUCACAAAGGAUCAGAGGCACAGUGGGGGUGAGGACCCAGGGCCUGACCCUGGAGCCCAGGGCUGCGUCCCUCUCCAUGCACCGAUGUCUUACAGUCAUGGCUUCACGGGGCCCCUUCUCAGGGGGGCCCUCCUUGGCCACUUGGCCUGAGUGGCCACCCUCCGCCCCCUACUUCUGGUCACUUCGUGGGGUGGAAGCAGACUGAGACCAGGGGAGCCAUGUAUGGGGACUGAGUGUCCUGGGACUGUGAGGGUGAGGGCGCAGGACAGGCAGAGGGAGACCUGGGCCGAGGUGGCCCCAUAGGAGCACUCAGAGCAGCCCCUCAAGAGACGGCAGUGAGGGCCACGCAUUGGAAGCCUUUUCUCUGACAGGAUGACCAGGCGGUUUCUUUGUGCAGAUCUAUCAAGGGGCCGGGAGGGAGGGACAUUCAGGGAGCAUGACCCUGUGGCCCUCUUACGCCCAAGGCCAGCAGCAUGGAGCCUGGCCUGGCCCCUCCCUCUUUAUCAGGACCCCCAAUUCUCCAGAUUGGACAGAGCACACGAUCCGACCCCAUAGUCACCCAGAGUCCCCAGGCCACAUGCUUCACAGUUUCCCUUCAGAUCAGGACUUGGUGUGGGCAGCCUGGGGGACAAGGACCCUGCUGACACUCCUGGGUUCCCCUCCCAGCCCUGCCACAUGCCAGCAGGACAGGUCACCUCCCUGAGCCUCGAGUUCCUCAUCCGUGGAGAGGGUGUACCCAGGCCCAGGCCGCCGGCUACUGUGGGAUUCAGUCUGGGGAGGGUCUCAGCCAGGCCCUGAGCUCAGGUGCGGGGUCCAGGGAGGACCCGGGCAGGGUGAGGGCAAGGGAGGCUCAGGCUCCUAAACCACCUUCUCUGCCGUCCUUGCUUCCAGGGCCCCACCCCCUUGGGACCAUGUGGCCUUGAUCUCCACUGACAGGGCAGCCCUCUGGGGACACAGCAAGGUGGGCGCCCUCCAUGGCAGCAGAAAGGGUCCGAGGUGACGUGCCAGUGUCCUCCAGCAGACAGGCUGGUCUAGGUUUUCCCGCCGCGUCCAUCCUUCCUUCUCUGUUGACAACACCCGGUUCCACGCCCGACACUGACCCCACUGCGGGCUUCCAGGAUGGACACUCAGUUCAGGUCUGGCUGAUGACUGCAUUCCCUUGGCCACAGUGACGGGGUCAGGGAGGGACAUCACCCAGGCCAGGCCAAGCAGAGGCACGUGCAUUCUCAUGGGGUCACUGAGCUGUGAGCCAGAAUCAGGGACCUGCCAGGGUGCAGCUGGCCCCACGUCAAGCGUUGCCAACAGCUGGAGAGAAAGAGACCGGGUGGCUUGUCUGCACCUGAGCCCCACUGGACCCGAAGCCAGAUCGCUCCUGGCUCGUCCUGUCAGUAGAACAUUCUCCUCCUCAGUUUGAGCCAAUGUGCACUGGAUUCCCACUCUCACAAUCGUGAGUAAUUUUACACACACAGGAAUAGCAAGGACAGGGUCUCCUCCAGGGGCCACGUUCCAGGAACUGGACGCUUGAGUUAAAAGAGUGGUCAAGGGCCACUUUCGUUGGCCCAUAAAGUGUGAUUUCUUUUUACCAAGAAAAAGUAUUUAUAUAUUUUACCACAGAAAACAACCAGGACACUUUAAAACAUUAUCUGCGAGGCAGCACCCCAGGCUCCGGGCUUGGACUCAGCCUGGCUUUGAGUCCAGCAGAGCCAGCUGCUAGCGGGUACUGACCAACGACCCCUGCCAAAUGCGGACAAUCACAGUGUCCUCGCAGAGCCCCAGGAGGCUUUGCGAGCUGCCUGGUAAACAGUGCCCAGGUGAGCGUGUCAGUGCCCAGGUGAGCGUGUCAGUGCCCAGGUGGGCACAAGCCCACGCCAGGCCUCUGCUCGUACAGAGCUUAGUAAGAGCCUGGGCUGCUGGGGACACGUGGGUCGGGGAGGACCUGGGAUUUCACAAACACAAGGCAGAAGUGUGGGGGCACUCUGGGGACCACGCCUUCCUGACCUGAAGCACAAGGCGCUGGCCAAUCACUACACUUCAGGUCCCAGCUCGGAGAGCAAGGCGGUCUUCAGUGGAGGCUACCCCUGGGGUUGAGUCACAUUCACCUGUCCCUUGUCGUCCUUUAUGGACAGAACUUUCUAAGAACAGUGUCCCCCCCAAAUAAAAGCUCACCUCCGAAUGUGCUUCCCUCUCUCGUCGGCCUCCAGUGACUUUCUCUUGCUCUGCCUUUUGGGGAGCUUGAGGCCGAGGGCCGGGGAAAGCCGUCCUGGAGCCUGUGUAAAGGUAA